AAAAUUGUCUGAUUCCGUCAGUGCAGCAAUAUCUAACAUGUAAACUAACAAUUCCACAGCAACUACCUAACAUACACAUAUCUAAGGAAAGGAAUGGAAUAAGAAUAUGCACAUGUCAAUAUAUGGUUGAGAUUUGAAAUAAUACAUUAAAAAACAUAAAACUGCAAGGUUCCUUAAGGACUAGAAGCGAGGCAGUCCUCUCUGUCGGCGCCAUCUUUUGGUAAACAUUUCAGGCAUUUUCCCUGCUCUUUCCUCAUCUGAGAGUGACUACUGUAGGCUGGUUUGUACACUCCUCUCUGUAUUUAUUUGGAAAGUGAAGCAAAAAUGAGUACAUUUGUCUCUAUACUCCAGGAUUUUUUUUAUUUGAGAUCAAAUGUUUCAUACUGUAUGAGGUGACAGUACAGUGUCUGUUUUACCGUUUAGAAAUAAAAUCACUUUAUGUAUCUAGUCCCCCAUUUGAAUGUGAAUUUUUCUUCAUAAGUAUUUGGACAAAUUCACUUAUAGUGUAUUAAAGUAGUCAAAUGUUUUAGUAUUUGGUAGUGGACUAAACUCCAUGGUGAAGGAAGUUUAUGAUGAACUUCAACAACGGCGUGGAUCCGAGACCAGGCUUUGUGGAAUCUAGCUCCAACUACAUCGAUUCGCCCAAGGUCAAUACUUACAAAAAAUAAUCAUAUGAAACGCCCACAUUGUACCUCUGUAGUUGCGUGCCUUUCUUUGUUUGCUAAAAUCCAUCUAUUUUCAAUAAACGUAAAUAAAAUAACACCACCAAAUGUUUCUUGGUUUAGAUUCAAUUGGUACAUGCGCAUUUGCGCUGAGUUGCCAUCUUAGAGCAACAGCAAUGAGCAAACAGUCAGCGGUUGUAUUUGAUUCAUGUUUAUUGAAAAAGUAUGAAUUUGAUCAAACAAAGAAAGGCACACAGAUACAGAGGACAAACAUAAGUACAAGGUAGGAGUUUCAUCAUUUAAAUCAUUUUAUGUGUAGGAGAUAGAUAGUGGCACAGCGGUCUAAGGCACUGCAUCUCAGUGCAAGUGGCGUCACUACAGUUUCUGGUUCGAAUCCAGGCUGUAUAACAUCCGGCCGUGAUUGGGAAUCCCAUAGGGUGGCACACAAUUGGCCCAGCGUUGUCUGGGUUUGACCGGGGUAGGCUGUCAUUGUAAAUAAGAAUUUGUUCUUAACUGACUUGCCUGGUUAAAUUUAAAAAAUGUAAUAUAUAAAUAAAUAGAUUCCACAAAGCCUGGUCUUGGCUCCACACCGUUGGUGAAGUUCCUCAUUAAACCUCCUUCACCAUGGAGUUUAGUCCGCUAAGUAUUUGGUCCCAUAUUCCUAGAACGCAAUGACUACAUCAAACUUGUGACUCUACAAACUUGUUAGAUGAAUUUGCAGUUUGUUUUGGUUGUGUUUCGGCUUAUGUUAGAACCAAUAGGAACUGAAUGGUGAAUAUUGUAUUGUGUCAUUUUGGUGUCAAUUUUAUUGUAAAUAAGAAUAAAAUAAGUUUCUGAAUGCUACCAUGAUUAUUAAUCAUGAAUGAAUUGUGAAUAAUGAUGAGUGAUAAAGUUACAGAGGAACAAUGAUCAUAUCCAUCAUUAUUAUUCAGAAUCCCUUCAUGAUUAUUGAUAAUUAUGGUAGCAUCCACAUUAAUGUAGAAGUGUCCAGAAACAUCUUCUAUUCUUAUUGACAAUUAAAGUGUCUCCAAAAUAACACAAUACAUUAUUCACCAUUCAGUUCCUAUUGGCAAAGCGUAAUCCGAAACUCAUCCAAAACAAACUGCAAAUGCAUCCAACAAGUUUGAUGUAGUAAUUUCGUGCUAGGAAUAUGGGAUCAAAUACAAAACUUUUGACUACUGUAAUGAAAUAUGUACAUUUGUCCAAAUACUUCUUCAAAUAGCGGGACUAGAUCCAUAAAGUGCUUUAAUUUCUAAACAGUAAAACAGAUAUGUAUGAAAAUAACCUAAACUUUAAGGUGACAUUCUGUACUAUCACCUCAUAUGAAACCAGUAUAGAGCCUCACUGUCCAAAUAAUUACAGAGGGAGUGUAUAGAAACCGUAUUAGUUUAGUGAAUUUAUUGCAAUUGUCACAUCUGCUCCUGCUACACCCCCUAGUGGACAUCCGGUGUCUCCUUGACCUGCAGCCAUUCUCCCAGUUCUCUCCCUCUCCCUCUGUGUGUGUGAUUGUGUAGUAUGAGACAGGUGUGCUGGAGUCAGAGACGUUCCCCACCAGCUGCAACCCAUUCCAUAAUCAAGACCUCUACAAAUACUCUGUCCUGCCACUUCCACUCUGCCAGAUCCUAAUCUCCGUUCAUUUUGCCGCUCUGACUCUGGUUCCUGUCUUCUGUUCCACAUCUCACCACCCUGCUACCCUGUUCUGGAAUCAACUCAUCAACACUCCCUUGGACCUGUUUACCCUGUCCCAACCCCAGUUCACUCCAACCUCAGCCUCCACAUCUGGUUUCCUACAACUUAUCCAAGCUUCCCUGGAUCUGCACUUCAUCUCUCCCUGUGUUACAAUAAAUAUAUUGGUUCAUCCCUGUUUCCUGGUCUGAGUCUGCUCUUGGGUUCCCCUGUUCUGCUCCACUUAACAGCAAUAGCAUGUUAUGACAGAGCAUAUUCUAGAAAGAGCGAGGUCAUUAUCUUCCUGUCCUCAGACUACUUUCAAGCCUAUUUGGUUCUGCAAACUAAUACAUUCUGGUAUUGGGUAGUAGAUAUAUUGAAAUUAAAUAUGUGUACUACAUUAGUGAAAAUGUGAAUGUUUUGUGACUCAAAUCACACAAAUAAUAAAACAUAUUGUUUAUAACA
Molecule: long non-coding RNA, 2792 nt
Organism: Oncorhynchus keta (chum salmon)
Lineage: Eukaryota; Metazoa; Chordata; Actinopteri; Salmoniformes; Salmonidae
Exons: 2
Source: RefSeq, a predicted model, not a curated record